Harpia harpyja (harpy eagle) is the source of this 362-nucleotide long non-coding RNA. RefSeq lists it as uncharacterized. NCBI's taxonomy places the organism in Eukaryota, Metazoa, Chordata, Aves, Accipitriformes, Accipitridae. The transcript has 3 exons. The record is from RefSeq and is a predicted model, not a curated record.
AAGGGACACAGCUCAGGACAGUAGAGGAAGGCACUCUCAGCAGGCGCUUUGGAAGUAGAAGCCUGAGCUGCCUUCAGCCUUCACUCUCUGCCAUGAAAUCCAACCUGCCGGUGACAGGAAGCUCCUUUCCUUUGCCUCCAGGUAUUUCUUAAAGUGUUAGGACAGGAGCAGUGUUCCCUGUUGCCUAGCAUGAUCCUGGCAUCAGUGACUGCUUCUCAGGACACAGGAGAGCGAAGAGCACCACUGCAGAAGUCUCUGGGCCCUGGAAGGCUGACAGAUACAGCCGGCAUCUAGCUGAAAGGCAACACAGUGAAUAGAGCUGGCUACAGUUCCAUAUAUUUAGAUGGAGUAAACUGCAUGCA